RNAcentral lists this long non-coding RNA (687 nucleotides) under Monodelphis domestica (gray short-tailed opossum). RNAcentral's name for it is "lncRNA (ENSMODG00000049885.1)". The record is from RNAcentral. Lineage: Eukaryota; Metazoa; Chordata; Mammalia; Didelphimorphia; Didelphidae.
GACUUCAGAGGGGAGGGGAGACCUGUCAGUGCUGUGACUGAGGAAAUGGUGUCAAACAAAUAAAGUGCUCCCCUGCCCUUAGGUCAGCUCCUUUGUGCAGCUACUGCGCCAGCAGCUGAGUCUCCUGUUCUUUUUGGUGAGAGAAUACAGGAAGCAAUUUUUCUAGAGUCGGUGUCUGGCUUUCCAUUCCUGGAGGAGGUUAUAUAUCUACAUUUGAGUUCAUGUCUCCACAAUAAAUGUAGAAGGAAGAGACAAAGUCCUGCAAAGUUGGGUUUUGUCCUCUCCACAUUGGGACUUUACAGAACAGCUUUGACUUUAUCUGAUGCUCCAUCAGCCUUCUGGCUCCUGCUGACUGAGCCUGGGACAACACUUCUCACUUCCCACUCGUCAUUGUAAAUAUAAAAGUCUCCAUGUACAGAGAGUGACUGUCAUUCAUGCCACCAACAUUCUUCCAGCAGGUGCUGGGACAAGUUCAAUGGAAAGCUCACGGCCCAAGCUAGGGUUCUUUCUUUGUUGGGAGACUGAGGCUGUUUGCAUCUGGGUUAGGACAGCUGAGGAAGUGAGCAUCAGGCCAAGCUGGGCUGAGCUGGGCUGCACUAAGACCUAUCAGGGAGAGCAGAGUGCGUAGGUGGCCAGCUCAGCUGCUUGCCUGCCUCUCAGGAAGAACAAUUGAACUGUCACCCGGUG